AUUGAACGCUGGCGGCAGGCCUAACACAUGCAAGUCGAACGGUAGCACAGAGAGCUUGCUCUCGGGUGACGAGUGGCGGACGGGUGAGUAAUGUCUGGGAAACUGCCCGAUGGAGGGGGAUAACUACUGGAAACGGUAGCUAAUACCGCAUAACGUCGCAAGACCAAAGUGGGGGACCUUCGGGCCUCACACCAUCGGAUGCGCCCAGAUGGGGUUAGCUCGUAGGUGGGGUAAUGGCUCACCUAGGCGACGAUUCCUAGCUGGUCUGAGAGGAUGACCAGCCACACUGGAACUGAUACACGGUCCAGACUCCUACGGGAGGCAGCAGUGGGGAAUAUUGCACAAUGGGCGCAAGCCUGAUGCAGCCAUGCCGCGUGUAUGAAGAAGGCCUUCGGGUUGUAAAGUACUUUCAGCGGGGAGGAAGGCGGUGAAGUUAAUAACUUCACCGAUUGACGUUACCCGCAGAAGAAGCACCGGCUAACUCCGUGCCAGCAGCCGCAGUAA
Molecule: ribosomal RNA, 504 nt
Filed under: uncultured bacterium
Lineage: Bacteria
Description: partial 16S ribosomal RNA
Rfam family: Bacterial small subunit ribosomal RNA
Source: RNAcentral